ACACAUUUCACCAGGAUGAUAAUGAUCAGCAUAUUAUGAGUUUUCAGAUGAUAUCUCACAAGGCAUACAUUUUGUACAAAAUUUAUCAAAGUCUUGAAAAA
Molecule: non-coding RNA, 101 nt
Organism: Chelonoidis abingdonii (Abingdon island giant tortoise)
Lineage: Eukaryota; Metazoa; Chordata; Testudines; Testudinidae
Source: RefSeq, a predicted model, not a curated record